Molecule: long non-coding RNA, 875 nt
Filed under: Triticum aestivum (bread wheat)
Lineage: Eukaryota; Viridiplantae; Streptophyta; Magnoliopsida; Poales; Poaceae
Description: long non-coding RNA (TAES_LNC020289)
Source: RNAcentral
UGGCCGAUGGAUGAAGUGCUGCUAAUACAGGGUGUCAGUACAGUACCUGAGCUUGAGCAAAAUCUUAAGAGGGGACAAAGAACACGAGAAGAUUGGGGAGCAAACUCACAGUUGCGGUCAAUGGUCACCGCGACCGGCGGCAACAGUAACCGUCACAGCAACCUCGAAGGAAUAGCAACCUCCCAGGCCAAUCUAUUCAGAGAGAAAAAACAAUAUCGAAAGAUAAGAUUUAAUAAUCGAACAAGUCAGCAGAUUAAUAAGAAUGUGUGGAUGUGAAAAAUUUCAGUGGAGCAGAAUAGUAAGAAAGGUGAGACUGAGUUACCAGGUAGCCGGGUCAGUAGAUUCAACGCGUCGCUCUCUGACCGACCAGAAACUCCAUUCUUCUUGCUAUUUCACUGCCACCCUAGAUUUAACCAACACAAAUCAGACUGUAAAGCAGGAGAUCUGACAUUUUAACUCCAAGCAUUGCUAUUUUAACAGGGAGAAAUCGACAGGAUAUAUACCCAAAAUGUGCCCCGUCCACAGGUGUCAAGGGCUGUUCCUUGCAAAACCUUACAAGCAAAUCUUUUCUGAGAACCUUGCUGUUCCACUGCCAGCCCUGGAUUCAAUCAACACAAAUCAGAUCAGACUCUGAAGCAGGAGAUCUGACUUUGUAGCUCCAAGCAAAGCAUUCCUACUUUAACUAGAAAAAAAAUCGACAGGAAAUAUACCCAAAAUAUCCACCGGCCUUCUCCCCUCUCCACAGAUGCCAAGAAGGACCGUGUUCCUCUCAAGAUCUCUAGCAGUGGUGAGCUUGGAGGUCGGAUGAGAUCACCAACAAGGCGGAUCACCAAUGGAGGAGAGGACCGAGAUGGUAGGAAGGGAGCACUCAGUGG